Molecule: long non-coding RNA, 487 nt
Filed under: Carica papaya (papaya)
Lineage: Eukaryota; Viridiplantae; Streptophyta; Magnoliopsida; Brassicales; Caricaceae
Description: long non-coding RNA (CPAP_LNC003518)
Source: RNAcentral
AUACAUACAUUCAAACUAUAAGAUCAAUCAAUCAUGUAUUAUCGUGCAUUUAAACUAUAAAAUAAAUCAGCAGAAUCAACAGUGAAUAAUUUUCGUUUCUGGCUCCAUUAGUGACUGGUAAUUAAUUAUGUAUAUUUUCUAAGCUGCCCAAAACACUGUAUUAUUAUUAUUAUUAUUUAGAUUUCAAUUUCAUAACAGAAAUUGAGGUAAGAGAUUCUUACUCAAAUUGAUACCUGAAAUGUUAAACUUGUUGACUGUUCCUACUGGCAGUCCCCGAAUUUUUUGAAUUUUUUUUAGGAGAUUAAAACACACUACAAGUACUUACAAAUAUUUCAAAAAAUCCAAAAUCAGUGUCAGGACCCUUUUUUGCCAAUUUUGGAAUUCUGGCACGGCGGCUCCGCCGUGCUUCGGCGAUGACACUGCCGUCCGCGACGGCAGUUUGCCUCAGGUCAACUGUUUUCGGUCCUUUUAUACCAAAUUCAAUCGG